CAUGCUACGGAGUAGACGUCCUCCUCUUCUCUGCGCACUCGCCUCCCUCUCCGGGGAGCCGCCGCGGCGGAGGCGGAACGGAAUCGCACGGCGGCAGCGCCGGGAGCGGCUGCAGAGGGCACGGCCGGAGGGACCGGGGGUCGGCUCAGCCCUGCCCCGCCGCGUGGGGAGCGAAGCCGCAGCCGCGGACACCCCGCGACGCGCGCAGCCCGGGCGCCUGGGAGCCGAAGCGGUCGCCUCCCCGGCAGGUUUCCUGUUCCUUUCCGAAGUUUGCUCUCCAACACCUUUGCUCCUCCUCCUGCGUCCUCCUGGCCCCCUCCCUUCUCUGCGCCCCGCCGCCGCCGGCCCUGCCACCGGGACGCUGGGGGUGGCCGCCGAGCCUCCUGGUGCCCUCGGGGGAAUUUUUGGACCAGGUACAUGGCGUUCGUGCAACUUGACCUGUCAGCAGACGCCCAGGUGGAGGCAGCCUCGGGGGAGGGAAGCGUCACUUGGCCACCCAUUUUUAUAGCCAACCGCUGGCGGUAAAGCUUCUCUGAAGCCUCCAAGACUGCGCCCCCUGCUGUGAACUAGGAGCCCAGAGCCCAGGUUUAACCUUGCACCCCCAGGAACCCACUGUCACUGCGUCCAUGGCGGUCUUCAUUUGCUGACUUUUAAAGCUGCCGGCUCUUGGGAAGGACAAAUACCAUACCAUAUGAUUUCACUUGUAUGCGGAAUCUAAAGAACAAAAUAAACAAAACUGAAUCAGA
Long non-coding RNA from Myotis lucifugus (little brown bat), 746 nucleotides. RefSeq lists it as uncharacterized. The transcript is spliced from 2 exons. The record is from RefSeq and is a predicted model, not a curated record. NCBI's taxonomy places the organism in Eukaryota, Metazoa, Chordata, Mammalia, Chiroptera, Vespertilionidae.